Sinocyclocheilus grahami is the source of this 340-nucleotide long non-coding RNA. RefSeq lists it as uncharacterized. The record is from RefSeq and is a predicted model, not a curated record. The transcript has 4 exons. NCBI's taxonomy places the organism in Eukaryota, Metazoa, Chordata, Actinopteri, Cypriniformes, Cyprinidae.
UGAAGAUUUUGACAACCUAACCCCUUCUUUUGAUCACUGUCUCUACAAGGCAUCCAUUGAGGAAAAUCAGGUAGGACUCUUCUCAGACGUCACUCCUGAGCCCUUAAAAGCUCAAGAUGGCGACACGGGCAUCAACGAGCCUGUAGUUUACAGCAUAACGACAGUCGUUCCAAAUGAGUAUCAGAACAGCUUUGAAAUCGACCGAAACCGUGGGGUCAUCUCUGUGACGACGGCACUAGACAGAGAGCAAACAGGGCAGAUUGCUGUUUUCAUACAGGCAACUCAGCAGGAUGAUGCCAGUAAGACGGCUAAUGCUGUUGUACUCGUCACCAUUGUGGAU